Molecule: ribosomal RNA, 1234 nt
Filed under: metagenome
Description: bacterial LSU rRNA
Rfam family: Bacterial large subunit ribosomal RNA
Source: RNAcentral
UGAAUACGAGACGCUAAGGCGUCGAAGUAGUGUAUGUCAUACUUCCAAGAAAAGCUUGCACUGUCAUAGAUAAAAAACGCCUGUACCAUAACCGACACAGGUGGGUAGGUAGAGUAUACUAAGGGGCGCGAGAUAACUCUCUCUAAGGAACUCGGCAAAAUAACUCCGUAACUUCGGGAGAAGGAGUGCCUUAUUCGUAAGGUUGCAAUAACAAGAUCCAAGCAACUGUUUAUCAAAAACACAGGUCUCCGCUAAGUCGUAAGACGAUGUAUGGGGGCUGACGCCUGCCCAGUGCCAGAAGGUUAAAGAAGUUGGUUAGCAAUUGCGAAGCUGAUAACUGAAGCCCUGGUGAACGGCGGCCGUAACAAUAACGGUCCUAAGGUAGCGAAAUUCCUUGUCGGGUGAGUUCCGACCCGCACGAAAGGCGUAAUGAUUUGGAUACUGUCUCGGAGAGGGGCUCGGUGAAAUAGACUUGUCUGUGAAGAUGCGGACUACCUGCACCAGGACAGAAAGACCCUAUGAAGCUUUACUGUAACUUGAAAUUGAAAUUGGACUUUAUUCGCGCAGUAUAGGUGGGAGGCGUUGAUUAUAAUCUUGUGGGAUUAUUGGAGCCAUCAGUGAGAUACCACUCUUGUAAUGUUAGAUUUCUAACUUUGAAUCAUUAUCUGGUCAAAGGACAGUUUCAGGCGGGCAGUUUGACUGGGGCGGUCGCCUCCUAAACGGUAACGGAGGCGUACAAAGGUUUCCUCUGAACGGUUAGAAAUCGUAUCUAGAGUGUAAAGGCAUAAGGAAGCUUGACUGUGAGACCUACAAGUCGAGCAGGGACGAAAGUCGGUCUUAGUGAUCUGACGGUACUGAGUGGAAAGGCCGUCACUCAACGGAUAAAAGUUACUCUAGGAUAACAGGCUGAUCUCCCCCAAGAGUUCACAUCGACGGGGAGGUUUGGCACCUCGAUGUCGGCUCAUCGCAUCCUGGGGCGGUAGUACGUCCCAAGGGUUGGGCUGUUCGCCCAUGAAAGCGGUACGCGAGCUGGGUUCAGAACGUCGUGAGACAGUUCGGUCCAUAUCCGGUGUAGGCGUUAGAAUAUUGAGAGGAGCCUUCUUUAGUACGAGAGGACCGAGAAGGACAUACCUCUGGUGUACCAGUUAUCGUGCCAACGGUAAACGCUGGGUAGCUAUGUAUGGAGUGGAUAACCGCUGAAAGCAUCUAAGUGGGAAGCCCACCUCAAGAUAAG